GACGAACGCUGGCGGCGUGCUUAACACAUGCAAGUCGAACGGAAAGGCCCCUUUGGGGGUACUCGAGUGGCGAACGGGUGAGUAACACGUGAGUAACCUGCCCUUGACUUCGGGAUAACUUCAGGAAACUGGGGCUAAUACCGGAUAGGAAUCCUUGCUGCAUGGUGGGGGUUGGAAAGCUUCGGCGGCUUUGGAUGGACUCGCGGCUGAUCAGCUUGUUGGUGGGGUAGUGGCUUACCAAGGCUUUGACGGGUAGCCGGCCUGAGAGGGCGACCGGCCACAUUGGGACUGAGAUACGGCCCAGACUCCUACGGGAGGCAGCAGUGGGGAAUAUUGCACAAUGGGCGGAAGCCUGAUGCAGCAACGCCGCGUGCGGGAUGACGGGCUUCGGGUUGUAAACCGCUUUCAGCAGGGGCGAAGCUUGUGGUGACGGUACCUGCAGAAGAAGCACCGGCUAACUACGUG
RNAcentral lists this ribosomal RNA (465 nucleotides) under uncultured bacterium. RNAcentral's name for it is "partial 16S ribosomal RNA". It matches the Rfam family "Bacterial small subunit ribosomal RNA", at positions 28 to 507 of the family's 1533-position model. The record is from RNAcentral.